RNAcentral lists this ribosomal RNA (463 nucleotides) under Vreelandella stevensii. Its description in RNAcentral is "partial 16S ribosomal RNA". It matches the Rfam family "Bacterial small subunit ribosomal RNA", at positions 338 to 794 of the family's 1533-position model. The record is from RNAcentral. Lineage: Bacteria; Pseudomonadati; Pseudomonadota; Gammaproteobacteria; Oceanospirillales; Halomonadaceae.
CCUACGGGCGGCAGCAGUGGGGAAUAUUGGACAAUGGGCGAAAGCCUGAUCCAGCCAUGCCGCGUGUGUGAAGAAGGCCUUCGGGUUGUAAAGCACUUUCAGUGGGGAAGAAAGCCUUGGGGCUAAUACCCUCGAGGAAGGACAUCACCCACAGAAGAAGCACCGGCUAACUCCGUGCCAGCAGCCGCGGUAAUACGGAGGGUGCGAGCGUUAAUCGGAAUUACUGGGCGUAAAGCGCGCGUAGGCGGUCUGAUAAGCCGGUUGUGAAAGCCCCGGGCUCAACCUGGGAACGGCAUCCGGAACUGUCAGGCUAGAGUGCAGGAGAGGAAGGUAGAAUUCCCGGUGUAACGGUGAAAUGCGUAGAGGUCGGGAGGAAUACCAGUGGCGAAGGCGGCCUUCUGGACUGACACUGACGCUGAGGUGCGAAAGCGUGGGUAGCAAACAGGAUUAAUACCCCAGUAGU